Molecule: ribosomal RNA, 402 nt
Filed under: bacterium
Lineage: Bacteria
Description: partial 16S ribosomal RNA
Rfam family: Bacterial small subunit ribosomal RNA
Source: RNAcentral
GGGGGAAUUUUGCACAAUGGGGGAAACCCUGAUGCAGCGACGCCGCGUGAUUUAGAAGGCCUUCGGGUUGUAAAAAUCUUUUCUAUGGGAAGAAAAUGACAGUACCAUAGGAAUAAGGACCGGCUAAUUACGUGCCAGCAGCCGCGGUAAUACGUAAGGUCCGAGCGUUGUCCGGAAUCAUUGGGCGUAAAGGGUACGUAGGCGGGUAAGCAAGUUAGAAGUGAAAUCCUAUAGCUCAACUAUAGUAAGCUUUUAAAACUGCUCAUCUCGAGGUAUGGAAGGGAAAGUGGAAUUCCUAGUGUAGCGGUGAAAUGCGCAGAUAUUAGGAGGAAUACCGGUGGCGAAGGCGAGUUUCUGGCCAUAACCUGACGCUGAGGUACGAAAGCGUGGGUAGCAAACAGG